CGUACUGCCGCUUCCUCCGCCGCGUUACUAAAUUCGUUUCAAAAGCCUUUCUGUGUCGUUUCUUGUAGUUUCCUGUUGGCAACGCUGUCCGAUGAGGGCUGAGCCCUCACCGGAGGACACAAUCUGGCCCCUUGUUUCUAAGCCUUUCUGAGUUUCUGUGAAUGGGGCAGUCUGUGGGCUGCUUCGCAAAUCCCACUUCCCUGGCAACGUGUUUGAGGAGACGAUCCAGCCAGCCCCAGCUGGUCCUGAGAGCAGCCGGUUCUAAUCGAACAGUUAGGUUCGGAUCCUAGAUUGUCGCAGCUUCACAGAAACUGGGAUCCCUGAGGUAUGAUACACAGGACAACUGGAGCCCAAAGGAUGGAGGAAGAGGAGCAUAUGCGUCAAUCUCUGACUCUGGCUUUUUAUUUUAAGACCAUUUAGGAUUUGUGCAACAGGAGACAGCUUAGACCGUGAAGGCCUGCCACACAAGAAUGAGGACCUGAGUUCAGCUGCACACAGAAGAGACCAGCUGGGAUGGAGCACACUUGUAAUCCCAGUGCUGGGAGGCAGAGACGACACACAGGAAAUGGUGAAGUGGUGAACUUAAGCUCUGUCAUGUCAGUGCUAACU
This is a long non-coding RNA of Peromyscus californicus insignis, 609 nucleotides long. RefSeq lists it as uncharacterized. Lineage: Eukaryota; Metazoa; Chordata; Mammalia; Rodentia; Cricetidae. The record is from RefSeq and is a predicted model, not a curated record. The transcript has 3 exons.